Molecule: ribosomal RNA, 119 nt
Filed under: Helianthus annuus (common sunflower)
Lineage: Eukaryota; Viridiplantae; Streptophyta; Magnoliopsida; Asterales; Asteraceae
Source: RNAcentral
GGUUGCGAUCAUACCAGCACUAAUGCACCGGAUCCCAUCAGAACUCCGCAGUUAAGCGUGCUUGGGCGAGAGUAGUACUAGGAUGGGUGACCCCCUGGGAAGUUCUCGUGUUGCAACAC